Molecule: non-coding RNA, 744 nt
Organism: Leptonychotes weddellii (Weddell seal)
Lineage: Eukaryota; Metazoa; Chordata; Mammalia; Carnivora; Phocidae
Source: RefSeq, a predicted model, not a curated record
CUCAGAAGCCAUCUCAGCAAUAGUGCAACUGAUUCCAGUUUUUAGAGUUGGCUUAAGUGGUAAACACUUUUGUCUAGUGUCACUGCAGAAAUACUCACGAAUGUAUCACUGAGCUUCUACGCUACAUUUAAAGUCUGCUUGAUGCCCAGGUUCUGCUACAUGGAUACACGCACCAAGAAAUGACAGCCCCCAACUUCAUCCCCUACUGGAAGGACAACCUUGAAUCCAGGCUCACGGAGGCGCUGAUCCUAAUGGGACGUUGCCCUUGAGAGCAAAGUGUUCUUAUUUUAGAGAAGAGCAGCAUGGUGGCCAAAAAAGUGGAUCCACAUUCUCUUUCCCUCGGAUCUCUUCACCCAGGUGAGGGCACUGACAAAGAAAUGGAAAGACUUGCCAUAAGUGUAUAGAUCCUAAGCGGAAGGUGUGCAUGGAGUUUAAACCGAGAUGACUCCACAUCCUGCACUUAGUCCAAAACUAGCUGGAAACCUACAAGUAUACCUUUAACAUCAAAGCAGGCUGCUCAUGUACUUAAGUGCACAUCUUCUUACCAAACUGUUGUCGCUGCACAUUUGAGCUGGAAGGAAUCCUUUAUUCCUAUAAAAAGGAGGCAGAUACCAAGUACAUUCUGGACUGUUUUGUCAGAGACAGCAUCAAGUUGCAAAUAAGAUUAUCUUCAGAGUCUCUUCUUGUAACUUGAAGUUACUUAAAGAGAUAGAGAGCACAAGUAGGAAGAGCGGCAGACAGAGG